CAACGGUGAAACUCAAAGGAAUUGACGGGGCCCGCACAAGCGGAGGAACAUGUGGUUUAAUUCGAUGAUACGCGAGGAACCUUACCCGGGCUCAAACACGCAGGGAUGUAUGUGAAAGCAUACAGUCCUUUCAGGACCUGCGUCGAGGUGCUGCAUGGUUGUCGUCAGCUCGUGCCGUGAGGUGUCGGCUUAAGUGCCAUAACGAGCGCAACCCCCAUCUUCAGUUGCCAUCAGGUAGAGCUGGGCACUCUGGAGAGACUGCCGGCGCAAGCUGCGAGGAAGGCGGGGAUGACGUCAAAUCAGCACGGCCCUUACGUCCGGGGCGACACACGUGUUACAAUGGCAGGUACAGCGGGAAGCCAGGCGGCGACGCCGAGCGGAACCCGAAAACCUGUCUCAGUUCGGAUCGGAGUCUGCAACCCGACUCCGUGAAGCUGGAUUCGCUAGUAAUCGCGCAUCAGCCAUGGCGCGGUGAAUACGUUCCCGGGCCUUGUACACACCGCCCGUCAAGCCAUGGAAG
This 520-nucleotide ribosomal RNA is filed under the name uncultured Bacteroidota bacterium. RNAcentral's name for it is "bacterial SSU rRNA". It matches the Rfam family "Bacterial small subunit ribosomal RNA", at positions 889 to 1410 of the family's 1533-position model. The record is from RNAcentral. Lineage: Bacteria; Pseudomonadati; Bacteroidota.